RNAcentral lists this unclassified non-coding RNA (2378 nucleotides) under Amphimedon queenslandica. Its description in RNAcentral is "uncharacterized LOC109588559, transcript variant X3". The record is from RNAcentral. Lineage: Eukaryota; Metazoa; Porifera; Demospongiae; Haplosclerida; Niphatidae.
AGGUUUCUCUGAGGUGUGGCCUGUUAGAGCAAUCAUGGCUACUCAACACAAAAAAAGUUCGUACAAUUCUUUCUUGUCAGCUACUCCAACUAUAAAGGAGUUAACUGAGUAUGUUGAUGUUAGUACUAACUGGUACAUAGUUGGUACAAUGCUUGACUUGGAUCAGAAACGAUUAAGAAGCAUUAAAGAACGAGGUGGCUCUGACACUGACAAGAUAAUAGAGAUGUUCAAUCUAUGGCUGACCACUACUCCUACUGCUAGUAGGAAACAGGUACUGGAAACAUUGAGAAAAAAAGUAGUGGGAGAGAAUACUCUUGCUGAUGAAUAUGAAAAGCAUUUGAAGGAAUUACAUGAAGCAACUUAUACACCGCCAUCUACUGAAGCAGUUUAUGUUCUUCAAAGCAAUAUUCAAUCAUUGAAUGAAGCUCUGGUCUCUCCUGUACAAGUGUCUCAACUGUUAUACUGUAAGGGAUGUAUAAGUGAAGCUACUCUGGAUGAAAUGGAGAGGAUAGAUCAGAGCAGGUCACUGGAUGACAAGAAGACCACUCUAUUGACUGCCAUACAAGAAACAGUGUCUAGUGACUACAGGAAACUUAAAGAUAUUGCUACAGUGCUGUCUGAUGUUGAAGAAACAAGAGAUAUAGCCAAUGAAAUAAUGAGUAAUGUUGAAAACAUGCCUGAAGAGGAGGAUCAAGUGGUUCAGUUGUUUACACAAGAGAUGGGAAGUAGUGAUGAAAGUCAUGCUUCUAAUGUAUUGAGGAACAACUACAGUGCUCUCUCUCAGUCAAUUACUGAACCAGUUCGUAUGGCAAGGUUGCUUCAUGAAGAGGUUAUAUCUGAUGAGGCUCUGUCUCGUGUCAUAUCUACAAGAGGUUCUGUCUCUGACAGUAGAGCAGUUCUCCUCAAAGCUGUACGAGGUGCUGUUCACUCCAAUUACAAACACCUGGAGUUGUUUGUUACUGUAUUGAGGAAGUUCUCAAAGACUGCUCAUAUUGGUGAUGCUAUCUUUGAAGCAUACACAAAGCAUUUUAACUAUUAUGAUGAAUAUUCUGAAGAGGCUGAAAUUCAUUUGGCAGAAAUACCUGUAGAUGUAAUGUCAGAAGAAAAUUCCCAAUUAAAGUCUAUGCCUACAAGUUCAUCACUUGAUGAUAAAGAAAUCAAUGAACAUAAUGACAAUAAAAUACUUUUUCCCCGUGAUAUGAGGAAUAAGUUUAUGAAAAUGAGAAGGAAGUUUGGUUCCACGGUUCUUAAAGUCUGUCAUAAAUUUGUUUGCAGAGAAAACGUUUUGAAUAUUGAUGAAAUGAAGGAACUUAUUAGUGACUGGUUUCCUGAUCUGAAGCCUCAACUUUCUUAUAAAAAUACGGUUGGUGAAGUAUUAAAAGUACUGAAAAGAAAGUGUAGCAUCAUUGAUAUAAGUCCCCUUGAAGAUUUAGCUUCUGAAUUUGACAUAGAAGAGGCUAAGCCAAUCAUUAAGUCAUUCAAAGAGGAAGCUAAGAAUUUCUGCAAAUCGGUAUCAGUGAGUCUUUGCCUUGAUGAGAAGCUACAGGCAGUUGCUACUCCGUCUCGCCUUUUAUGUGAAACCGUUGUAUUUGUCUUCAACUGGGAUCCUGAUGAACAUACAUUGCAGGAUAUCAAUGACGUAUUGUUUGAGUUAGAGCCACUACAUAAGUGCCACAUACAGAUGGAUAAAGUUGGUACUGGUCAAUCAGUUGUAGUGGCCUGCUACUGUGCUACUGAAUACACUGGCUUACUAAUAAUGGAUGUCCUUGGUAUGAUGGAUACAUUGCAAAGGAAAGGCUUAAAGGAAUUUAUAGUGGGCAACUUUACUCUGUGGAAUGCUACUCAGGUAGUGAGUAAGAAUACAGUGGUGACAGACAUUCUAGUACAGAUUAAUGACUUAAAAGCUGCUUUAAGAGACAGAGAUGAAAAGAUAAUGGCUACUGAAACAGAGUUAGCAGCAUUCAUGGAGCUAUCAGAAAACAGAUUAAAAGAAAUAGAAGCAGUAAAGAUAGAUCUUUACAAGAGCCAACGCAUCAAUGUGCAAAAAGAAGAAGUAAUUACUGAAUUAAAAGAAAAAAUUUCAAUACUAUUCGAAGAAGUGAUAGAGAAAGAAAAUUUAUUAAAACAAUAUUUGGAAGAAACAGAUUCUGAAGAAUCAUCAUAUGAAGGAGUACCAGAAGCAGAUGAAUCACUCGAUACUAGUACAUCAACAACUCAACCAUGCAGGCAUGCACAAGUUCAAAUGAUCAGCUCAUAAUAUGUACAUGCUGACCCAUGUGACGACUUAAUUGUUUAGAAUCAUCAUAUGAAGAAGUACCAGAAGCAGAUGAAUCACUCAAUACUAGCACAUCAAUAGUACAAGAGGAUGGAGAGGUGGA